AGUACUUUGCCUGCCCUCCAAAAAACUCAGAAGCACAUCCCCCUUUUGAUAUGUCAAAUCCAGGAGAGAGGACUACAAAUAAACUCAAUUGCAGAGGGCCUCACAGUCAUGCCCGAGGCCCUGGUUUCAAUCCCCAGGAAUAGAAAAUACUAUAGACCCAGAAAAUAAUGGGAGUCCUGGAGAUCCAGAUGUAGAACUCACAGCUACUUCUCCAGCACCAAGUCUGUCUGCAUGCCACCAUGAUUCCCACCAUGAUGACAAUGGACUAAAACUCUGCAGAGAAGCUGUGAAGAAUUGGGG
This 300-nucleotide long non-coding RNA is filed under the name Cricetulus griseus (Chinese hamster). RNAcentral's name for it is "lncRNA (ENSCGRG00015040422.1)". The record is from RNAcentral. Lineage: Eukaryota; Metazoa; Chordata; Mammalia; Rodentia; Cricetidae.